This 122-nucleotide transfer RNA is filed under the name Polaromonas sp. RNAcentral describes it as "tRNA-OTHER". It matches the Rfam family "tRNA". From Rfam's summary of the family: Transfer RNA (tRNA) molecules are approximately 80 nucleotides in length. Their secondary structure includes four short double-helical elements and three loops (D, anti-codon, and T loops). The record is from RNAcentral. Lineage: Bacteria; Pseudomonadati; Pseudomonadota; Betaproteobacteria; Burkholderiales; Comamonadaceae.
GGCCGGUUAGCACAGCGGUAGUGCACCCCGGGCUGCGAGCUUGCUCGCAGCCACCCUACGAAAGACGAUUUUGCGAGUCGUCUUUCGUCGGGAAGACGGAGGUUCAAAUCCUCUACCGGCCA